CAUAUCAUAGGCAAUUCUGUGUGGGUGAUACCUCUACAACUUGAUGAGACCUUUGGGACUCUGAUGCUGCUGUGCACUUCAGUAAUGGCUAGAAAAUGAGGCAGUUAAUUUGAACCAGGGGUGAGAGUUUGCGUUGUCAUAUCCUUCCCCUGUGGUCACUCAUCUAAUUCACUCUGAGUGAAAGUCCCACCGUAGAUGAUUCCUGUUUCCCCCUCUCUGCACUCUCUUUUGAGCAUGUCUUAAUAUCUAUUUUUCGCCUCACUAAUGACCAUCUUUUACUUCCUCAUUUUUCUUUUACUCUUAUCUAUUCUCUGUACUUUCAUCAUCUUUUUUCUGUUCCCCUGUGAUCUUUUUGCUGCAAUUUCCCUCGUUUCUCUUUCAUAUUUUCGUUUUCCCUUCACCUUUUCUUCUAUGUCUCUGUUCUGCAGGCCAGUCUGGAUCAAAACAACUGGGAACAGGUCGGUCUUUAGUGAAUGCCAUCGGGAGUGACUCAGCUCUCAUCAGAGGUGUGAUAGCCGUGGUGAUCUUUGUGACCGUGUCUGCAUUAGCCAUAAUGGCCCGAUUCCUCUACAGGAGGAAAUGCACAUGUCAGCACCAGGAAGUAAAAACAGUGAAACCUAAAGACAAUCCAGAGUUGCCAUUAAGAAUAAGUUUUAUAAGUAUUGCUUUUUUUUCCAACUGUGGUCCCCAAUUGGGCUUUUGUAUACACAGUACACAGAGCAGAUUUACAGUGUUUAAUUACCUAAAGCCAGAAUACACCAUAUAUACAAGACCAUCAUGAUACCAAUCAUCUGUGAUUGGGGUUUUAGGUUUUGUCAAGUCAAGUAGUAAUCUCCUCAGACACGCUUGGGAAGUACUUAAACUGUAAAAACCGGUACAGUGUAUAUACAGUCUGGAUUAUUUACAGCCAUCUGUAAUCUGUAAAUCUCAUGGGAGUUUAGCAAUAUAAACUCACUUCUGUAAAAAAAAACCCCACACAUCAUCAUAAAUAGCAUCAUCGUUGACUUUGUGUUUGUGUUCCUGCACUGCAAGAAUCUGCUGUUGACAGACUCGAGAUCCUGCUGUGACCCGUGUCAGCUGAUCAGCGCUGUUAUAGAAACCUCGCUGACAGCAUGCAGAUCUCCUGUGCUUGCACACCAACAGUGAAGUCAUCGGGGUCAGCAGCACGCAGGCCACAGGCAGGACUGCUCAGGCGAGACAAAUUUUGUGUGUGAUGAUUUUGUGGCUGAAGAAGUCAACGGGGACACAAUGAGACGGGGACCACGAGAAUCAUAGGAACAGCUGCUGCUUCUUUUUCUUUUUUAAGCCUCCACCGCACUAGUGACCACAGCAGGGUUAUCAGUCCUUCCUCGCUUUUUUUAACUUCUGUGGCUUUUUAUGAAUUGUGUGAUUGCAGCACCCGUGGGACAAAUCGCACACCGGCUCCCACUGAUGUCCAUUCUUCACAUUAGUGCUGACAGCCAUAACGCCACCAUGUGGCCACUUAGCGCAUGCAAAAUUAUGUAGUGGUUACAACCUGCAGAUCACAACCGCAUCAUAACUAC
RNAcentral lists this long non-coding RNA (1544 nucleotides) under Oreochromis niloticus (Nile tilapia). Its description in RNAcentral is "lncRNA (ENSONIG00000043219.1)". Lineage: Eukaryota; Metazoa; Chordata; Actinopteri; Cichliformes; Cichlidae. The record is from RNAcentral.